This 29-nucleotide non-coding RNA is filed under the name Homo sapiens (human). The record is from RNAcentral. Lineage: Eukaryota; Metazoa; Chordata; Mammalia; Primates; Hominidae.
UGACAGGAUGUGCCCACUUUGCUGGUAGC